GAUUUUCGCAAUGCCCGAAAGGGUGACUAUGCGACGCCGCGUGAGCGAUGAAGGUCUUCGGAUUGUAAAGCUCUGUCGAGUGGGAUGAAUACCACGUCCAUAACAUGGACGUGGAAUGACAGUACCACUAUAGGAAGCCACGGCUAACUCCGUGCCAGCAGCCGCGGUAAUACGGAGGUGGCAAGCGUUGUUCGGAUUUAUUGGGUGUAAAGGGCAUGUAGGUGUCCUGGUAAGUUCUGGUUGAAAUCCUUCAGCUCAACUGAAGAACGUGUCAGAAAACUGCCAGGAUUGAGUACAGGAGAGGAGAACGGAAUUCCCGGUGUAAGGGUGAAAUCUGUAGAGAUCGGGAAGAACACCAGUGGCGAAAGCGGUUCUCUAGACUGUCACUGACACUGAAAUGCGAAAGCUAGGGGAGCAAACAGGAUUAGAUACCCUGGUAGUCCUAGCCGUAAACGAUGGGCACUAAGUAGAGGGGUUUUAAUC
RNAcentral lists this ribosomal RNA (483 nucleotides) under uncultured bacterium. Its description in RNAcentral is "bacterial SSU rRNA". It matches the Rfam family "Bacterial small subunit ribosomal RNA", at positions 359 to 836 of the family's 1533-position model. The record is from RNAcentral.